UCCUACGGGAGGCAGCAGUAGGGAAUCUUCCGCAAUGGACGAAAGUCUGACGGAGCAACGCCGCGUGAGUGAUGAAGGCUUUCGGGUCGUAAAACUCUGUUGUUAGGGAAGAACAAGUGCUAGUUGAAUAAGCUGGCACCUUGACAGUACCUAACCAGAAAGCCACGGCUAACUACGUGCCAGCAGCCGCGGUAAUACGUAGGUGGCAAGCGUUAUCCGGAAUUAUUGGGCGUAAAGCGCGCGCAGGUGGUUUCUUAAGUCUGAUGUGAAAGCCCACGGCUCAACCGUGGAGGGUCAUUGGAAACUGGGAGACUUGAGUGCAGAAGAGGAAAGUGGAAUUCCAUGUGUAGCGGUGAAAUGCGUAGAGAUAUGGAGGAACACCAGUGGCGAAGGCGACUUUCUGGUCUGUAACUGACACUGAGGCGCGAAAGUGUGGGGAGCAAACAGGAUUAGAUACCCUGGUAGUCCACGCCGUAAACGAUGAGUGCUAAGUGUUAGAGGGUUUCCGCCCUUUAGUGCUGAAGUUAACGCAUUAAGCACUCCGCCUGGGGAGUACGGCCGCAAGGCUGAAACUCA
This 576-nucleotide ribosomal RNA is filed under the name uncultured bacterium. RNAcentral's name for it is "bacterial SSU rRNA". It matches the Rfam family "Bacterial small subunit ribosomal RNA", at positions 337 to 903 of the family's 1533-position model. The record is from RNAcentral.